RNAcentral lists this long non-coding RNA (295 nucleotides) under Manihot esculenta (cassava). Its description in RNAcentral is "long non-coding RNA (MESC_LNC012263)". Lineage: Eukaryota; Viridiplantae; Streptophyta; Magnoliopsida; Malpighiales; Euphorbiaceae. The record is from RNAcentral.
GAAAUAUUCUGACCUAAGAACACUUGGUGUAAAAACUAAGGAAUUGUAUGAUCUAGCAUCAUCUUCAUGCGUUUGGAGUAGCUAGGAUUGGAUCUCUCUCAUUCUUUAUACAAUUGAUAAUUGUUUUGAUGCCUAAGGUCCAAGGACGUUCCUUGGCAAUUUGUUAAUUAGUAAUUGAUUAAAGGACGUUCCCUAAUUGAUUUGAUCAUAAGGAGAGACAUGGUGGUGAGAAGCAUUUUCCACCCCCAUAACUAAUCUAUUGAACCAAUCAAGAAAACAUAAGUUUCAAUGAUCA